Molecule: long non-coding RNA, 1661 nt
Organism: Panthera uncia (snow leopard)
Lineage: Eukaryota; Metazoa; Chordata; Mammalia; Carnivora; Felidae
Exons: 5
Source: RefSeq, a predicted model, not a curated record
UGCUCCAUGUGGUGGCAGGAUCCCCAGGGACAACUGAUAUUUAUUACAUGAAAGUGUUGAGCAAACAAUACAUACUUGUGAGGUAGAUGAAGUCAUGCACAGGUGGAGGAAGCAGAGCCUGAUGUGAAGAAGGCAAGAUCAGAGCCCCAGCGGGAGCUUUUGGAAGCAAAAGUGAUUUUCGAGAGAAAAGAUAUCUAGGAAGAAGUGUGGAGGGCAUGCUCACCAUGCAAAAUUGUUAAAGAGGGGGAGUGUUCCACAAGUGAACUUUGAGCAGUGGACGAUGGAAGGGCAGAUUGAAGGAAGACUUGAACCUAGAAGGAUACAAGCUGGAGUGGCAAGAGACAACUCUACAGCCUUGAGGGGAGAGCCUAUCACAGAAUAUGGACAACAUGGUGGAGUGCACAAGUAAUAGAGUGAGAAACUGGGUCUUCAUGAUAUCCUCUGAGUCCUAUGUCUGAAGCUAGCCUCAUCACUAGAUUUUCAGCUUUAUGAGCAAUAGACAGAUUCUUUUUCAGUAAGCCUGUCCGGAUGAUCAAAAGCCAGACAAGACCUUCAAGCAAAUUCCCUUUUACCAUUUGCAAUGUAAAACACUCCUUGGUUCCCCGUGAACCCUCCCGUUUCAUGAAUGGAAACACAGCUCUUAUCUUGAUGUAUGUGUAGCUGGUGCCUCUUCAGUUCUGACAACAAGAAAAGUGAGCCAGGGAACAUAAUGGAGCCCUGAAAAAUUGCUGUCCUCAUACCACUGAAAUUUCUCCUUUCAAGCCAAAUCCACCCAAGGGUCAUGUUUGAGAAAUGAAGCCCGGAAGAGAUAUCUGUGAAGCUGACAGUCUGCAAAAUAUUUUUCUUUUCUUUUCAAUAGCCAGUGAUUGCCAAGUCAUUGGCCAGUCUCGAACAAUUUUCUGGGUAAAGUGACAGUUAUUGGAAGGGGAAGACGCUCUCUUUUGCCCUUCAGAAGCUUCUAACUGGAAAAGGGCAAAAACAAUUAGAAAAAUAAAUGAAGUACAAGAGCUACAGAGUCUGGGGAUCUCUGGACUCACAUUCAGUGGCUGCAGCUUCCCAGGCCAGGUCCCAUUCUUAAAGUGUGUGAUAAACAGAAAAAAAGGUAUGAUUCUGAGUCUGAGGUUCUCCACCUACUUUGAGGUUCUACAAUCAUCACCGUUUUUCUGGAUGAGAAGAGUGAAUCCUGGAGAGAUUAAGACUUUUGCUGAAAUCAAGGCUGGAAAACAGCGGGGUCAGGAUCUGAACCACCACAGCCUGAGUCCAGCACACCUGCACCUGACCACUUCAUUGUGCCCCUCUGGCAAACUAAAGUCCAUUGUUCCCAGUUGGGAAGUGUAGUUACUCUUUUUGUUUGUUUGUUUGUUUGGUGGCUGGGUGAUUAUGGAAACCUAGAAGAGGGAAUAGAGGAGAAGGGACAAUCUCAACAACUUGUCUUUGUAAUGAAAAUAAUCGAGGUUACUGUCUCUAAAUGGCUGCACUGGGGUGGGUGAGUACUGAUGAACGUGAAAGAAGAGGUGCACCUGACCAGACAGGACCCGCAUGAAUGAGAGGACACCCUGUGUCAAGCACACCACUCCUCUUAAACCACACUCAUCCUGACUGGCUGACAUCCCGGCAUCAGAAACUAGGUCUGCAGCCUCAGCCAGACUUGGAACCCUUUG